RNAcentral lists this ribosomal RNA (494 nucleotides) under Streptomyces sampsonii. Its description in RNAcentral is "bacterial SSU rRNA". It matches the Rfam family "Bacterial small subunit ribosomal RNA", at positions 53 to 540 of the family's 1533-position model. The record is from RNAcentral. Lineage: Bacteria; Bacillati; Actinomycetota; Actinomycetes; Kitasatosporales; Streptomycetaceae.
GCACGCAAGGACCGUUAAAGUUUGAAUCCUGGCUCGAUGAACCGCUUUCGGGCGCCGGAUUAGGUGGCGAACGGGUGAGUAACACGUGGGCAAUCUGCCCUGCACUCUGGGACAAGCCCUGGAAACGGGCUCUAAUACCGGAUAUGACCGUCUGCCGCAUGGAGGAUGGGGUAAAGCUCCGACGGUGCAGGAUGAGCCCGCGGCCUAUCAGCUUGUUGGGGAGGUAAUGGCUCGCCAAGGCGACGACGGGUAGCCGGCCUGAGAGGGCGACCGGCCACACUGGGACUGAGACACGGCCCAGACUCCUACGGGAGGCAGCAGUGGGGAAUAUUGCUCAAUGGGCGAAAGCCUGAUGCAGCGACGCCGCGUGAGGGAUGACGGCCUUCGGGUUGUAAACCUCUUUCAGCAGGGAAGAAGCGAAAGUGACGGUACCUGCAGAAGAAGCGCCGGCUAACUACGUGCCAGCAGCCGCGGUAAUACGUUCGGCGCAAGCG